RNAcentral lists this ribosomal RNA (493 nucleotides) under uncultured bacterium. RNAcentral describes it as "partial 16S ribosomal RNA". It matches the Rfam family "Bacterial small subunit ribosomal RNA", at positions 28 to 505 of the family's 1533-position model. The record is from RNAcentral.
GAUGAACGCUGGCGGCGUGCCUAAUACAUGCAAGUAGAACGCUGACGGAGUAGCUUGCUCUUCUGGAUGAGUUGCGAACGGGUGAGUAACGCGUAGGUAACCUGCCUGGUAUCGGGGGAUAACUAUUGGAAACGAUAGCUAAUACCGCAUGACAACAGUUAUUGCAUGAUAACCGUUUAAAAGGGGCAACUGCUCCACUACCAGAUGGACCUGCGUUGUAUUAGCUAGUUGGUGAGGUAACGGCUCACCAAGGCGACGAUACAUAGCCGACCUGAGAGGGUGAUCGGCCACACUGGAACUGAGACACGGCCCAGACUCCUACGGGAGGCAGCAGUGGGGAAUAUUCGGCAAUGGACGGAAGUCUGACCGAGCAACGCCGCGUGGGUGAAGAAGGUUUUCGGAUCGUAAAGCUCUGUUGUAAGGGAAGAACGGGUGUGAGAGUGGAAAGUGCACACUGUGCCGGUAUCUUACCAGAAAGGGACGGCUAACUACG